Molecule: ribosomal RNA, 464 nt
Filed under: uncultured bacterium
Lineage: Bacteria
Description: bacterial SSU rRNA
Rfam family: Bacterial small subunit ribosomal RNA
Source: RNAcentral
GGUUAACGCUGGCGGCGUGCCUAACACAUGCAAGUCGAACGGUUCUAAGCGCGAGCUUAGGAUAGUGGCGAACGGGUGAGUAAAAGGUAGGAAUCUACCCCUUGGACGGAGAUAGCUACUGGAAACGGUAGGUAAACUUCGAUAAGCCCGUGAGGGGAAAGUGGUGAGACAGCCGAGGGAUGAGCCUACUCUCCAUCAGGUAGUUGGUGAGAUAAAAGCUUACCAAGCCGAUGACGGAUAACCGGUGUGAGAGCAUGAACGGUCACAAGGGCACUGAGAGACGGGCCCUACUCCUACGGGAGGCAGCAGUGGGGAAUCUUGGACAAUGGGCGAAAGCCUGAUCCAGCGACGCCGCGUGGAGGAAGAAGUCCUUCGGGAUGUAAACUUCUGAACUAGCCGAAUAAAAGGCCUGUGGACACACAGGAGAAGAAAGUAGGCUAGGAAAAGUCCCGGCUAACUACGUG